RNAcentral lists this ribosomal RNA (518 nucleotides) under uncultured bacterium. RNAcentral describes it as "partial 16S ribosomal RNA". It matches the Rfam family "Bacterial small subunit ribosomal RNA", at positions 899 to 1397 of the family's 1533-position model. The record is from RNAcentral.
ACUCAAAUGAAUAGACGGGGGCUCACACAAGCGGUGGAGCAUGUGGCUUAAUUCGAGGCUACGCGAAGAACCUUAUCCUGGGCUUGACAUGUGCGAAAGCGUCGGGGGGUAGCCCUCUGGAAACAGAGGGUGAAGGUAUCCAAUCCUGAACCCGAUACAGGUGCUGCAUGGCUGUCGUCAGCUCGUGUCGUGAGAUGUCGGGUUAAGUCCCAUAACGAGCGAAACCCCUGUCCUUAGUUGCCACAUUCAGUUGGGGACUCUAGGGAGACUGCCGGUGUCAAACCGGAGGAAGGUGGGGAUGACGUCAAGUCCUCAUGGCCUUUAUGUCCAGGGCUGCACACGUGCUACAAUGGCGCGCACAAAGGGAUGCCAACCCGCGAGGGGGAGCCAAUCCCAAAAAACGUGCCCCAGUUCAGACAAGAGGCUGCAACUCGCCUCUUCGAAGUUGGAAUCGCUAGUAAUCGCGGGUCAGCAACACCGCGGUGAAUGUGUUCCUGAGCCUUGCACACACCGCCCGU